CCAGGCCAGGAUUCCCAGGUGUCCCAGCUCCUGCUCAGGGCGGAGCACAGAUCUCUCACCAUGGAGUUUGGGCUCAGCUGGCUUUUCCUUCUUGCUAUUUUAGGAGGUGUCCAGUGUGAGGGGCAGCUGGUGGCAUCUGGGGGAGGCUUGGUGAAGCCUGGGGGGUCUCUGAGACUCUCCUGUGUGGCCUCUGGAGUCACCUUUGGUGCCAUUGAUAUACACAUGAUCCGCCAGGCUCCUGGGAAGGGACCGGAGUGGGUGGCAGUUAUAAGGUAUGAUGGAAGUCAGAAAUACUAUGCAGACUCUGUGAAAGGCCGAUUCACCAUCUCCAGAGACAAUGCAAAGAACAUGCUGUACCUGCAAAUGAACAGCCUGAAAGCUGAAGACACGGCUGUGUAUUAUUGUACUACAGCCACAGUGACAGAAAGUCAGUGUGAGCCCAGAUACAAAACUUCCUGCUGA
Molecule: non-coding RNA, 462 nt
Organism: Phyllostomus hastatus (greater spear-nosed bat)
Lineage: Eukaryota; Metazoa; Chordata; Mammalia; Chiroptera; Phyllostomidae
Source: the annotation of a RefSeq genome assembly